This 97-nucleotide signal recognition particle RNA is filed under the name Neiella litorisoli. RNAcentral describes it as "Bacterial small signal recognition particle RNA". It matches the Rfam family "Bacterial small signal recognition particle RNA". Rfam says of the family: The signal recognition particle (SRP) is a universally conserved ribonucleoprotein involved in the co-translational targeting of proteins to membranes. Archaeal SRP consists of a 7S RNA and homologues of the eukaryotic SRP19 and SRP54 proteins. The record is from Rfam by way of RNAcentral. Lineage: Bacteria; Pseudomonadati; Pseudomonadota; Gammaproteobacteria; Alteromonadales; Echinimonadaceae.
UUCGGGUCCUCUCGCAUUGAUAGCUUGUGAACCUGGUCAGGACCGGAAGGUAGCAGCCACAGCAAGUGACUCGAGUGCCGGGAUGUGGCUGGUAGGG